AAACUUAUAGUAUAAUUUAAUAUUUUAGUUUGUC
This 34-nucleotide transfer RNA is filed under the name Brachionus calyciflorus. Its description in RNAcentral is "tRNA-Asp". The record is from RNAcentral. Lineage: Eukaryota; Metazoa; Rotifera; Eurotatoria; Ploima; Brachionidae.